This 229-nucleotide ribosomal RNA is filed under the name uncultured bacterium. RNAcentral's name for it is "partial 16S ribosomal RNA". It matches the Rfam family "Bacterial small subunit ribosomal RNA", at positions 568 to 796 of the family's 1533-position model. The record is from RNAcentral.
UGCGUAGGCGGAUAAAUAAGUCAGUGGUGAAAUCUUUCGGCUCAACCGGGAAACUGCCAUUGAUACUGUUAGUCUUGAGUUCGGUUGAGGUAGGCGGAAUGUGUAAUGUAGCGGUGAAAUGCUUAGAUAUUACACAGAACACCAAUUGCGUAGGCAGCUUACUAGACCGACACUGACGCUGAGGCACGAAAGCGUGGGGAGCGAACAGGAUUAGAUACCCUGGUAGUCC